UACGGUCAUAUCACGUUCAAACACAGGUCCCCCGUACAAUCACCGAAGUUAAGUAACGUCGAGCCUGGUCGGUACUUAGAUGGGUGACCGCUUGGGCAUGCCAGGUGCUGUAAU
Acanthosepion pharaonis is the source of this 114-nucleotide non-coding RNA. Lineage: Eukaryota; Metazoa; Mollusca; Cephalopoda; Sepiida; Sepiidae. The record is from the annotation of a GenBank genome assembly.